GAUUAACGCUGGCGGCGUGCAUAGCACAUGCAAGUCGAACGAUGAAACUUUAAUGAACCCUUCGGGGAGAAUUAAAGCGGAUUAGUGGCGAACGGGUGAGUAACGCGUGAGUAACCUGCCUUACACAAGGGGAUAGCCUUUGGAAACGAAGAAUAAUACCCUAUAAAACCAUAAAAGCACAUGCAAUUAUGGUCAAAGUGAUAGCGGUGUAAGAUGGACUUGCGUCUGAUUAGCUAGUUGGUGAGAUAAAAGCCCACCAAGGCAACGAUCAGUAGCCGGCUUGAGAGAGUGUACGGCCACAUUGGGACUGAGACACGGCCCAGACUCCUACGGGAGGCAGCAGUGGGGAAUUUUGCACAAUGGGGGAAACCCUGAUGCAGCGACGCCGCGUGAUUUAGAAGGCCUUCGGGUUGUAAAAAUCUUUUGUAUAGGAAGAAAAUGACAGUACUAUACGAAUAAGGUCCGGCUAAUUACGUG
RNAcentral lists this ribosomal RNA (477 nucleotides) under uncultured bacterium. RNAcentral describes it as "partial 16S ribosomal RNA". It matches the Rfam family "Bacterial small subunit ribosomal RNA", at positions 28 to 507 of the family's 1533-position model. The record is from RNAcentral.